Molecule: non-coding RNA, 200 nt
Organism: Daucus carota subsp. sativus
Lineage: Eukaryota; Viridiplantae; Streptophyta; Magnoliopsida; Apiales; Apiaceae
Source: Rfam
AUACCUUUCUCGGCCUUUUGGCUAAGAUCAAGUGUAGUAUCUGUUCUUAUCAGUUUAAUAUCUGAUAUGUGGGCCAUUGGUUCACACGAUAUUAAAUUUAUGUUUUGAGAGGGAAGUCCCGUCACAAUAGCUUGCUAUUGGGGGCUUCGCGAGUCGCCUAUGCGUUGCACGACAGCUUUGGCCUGAGUGGCUCACCCCAC